CUCUAUGAGACUGCCGGUGACAAACCGGAGGAAGGUGGGGAUGACGUCAAGUCCUCAUGGCCCUUAUGGGUAGGGCUUCACACGUCAUACAAUGGUCGGAACAGAGGGUUGCCAACCCGCGAGGGGGAGCCAAUCCCAGAAAACCAAUCGUAGUCCGGAUCGCAGUCUGCAACUCGACUGCGUGAAGCUGGAAUCGCUAGUAAUCGCGGAUCAGCAUGCCGCGGUGAAUACGUUCCCGGGUCUUGUACACACCGCCCGUCACACCAUGGGAGUGGGUUUUGCCAGAAGUAGGUAGCCUAACCGUAAGGAGGGCGCUUACCACGGCAGGGUUCAUGACUGGGGUGAAGUCGUAACAAGGUAGCCGUAUCGGAAGGUGCGGCUGGAUCACCUC
Molecule: ribosomal RNA, 391 nt
Filed under: Burkholderia sp.
Lineage: Bacteria; Pseudomonadati; Pseudomonadota; Betaproteobacteria; Burkholderiales; Burkholderiaceae
Description: bacterial SSU rRNA
Rfam family: Bacterial small subunit ribosomal RNA
Source: RNAcentral